This 259-nucleotide long non-coding RNA is filed under the name Manihot esculenta (cassava). Its description in RNAcentral is "long non-coding RNA (MESC_LNC010558)". Lineage: Eukaryota; Viridiplantae; Streptophyta; Magnoliopsida; Malpighiales; Euphorbiaceae. The record is from RNAcentral.
UAGUUAAUCAUGAUUAAGAUUCAAUGGUAUAUUGAAACCAACUUUGAAGGCGACUUAUCACCAGCAGAAGCCAUAAUUCAGAUGAUAUGGAAUCAUCCAUGCAGGGGCAGCCACCUUUGUCGCCCAUGCAUAAAUGAUCAGUGGGAACAUAAAAGACUCACGUUGUCCUCAAAGUGCUCUACAUCGUAGUUAGGUCGUGAUGAAAACGAUUCUAGAAACCAUUCAAUUUGUCCAUCAUUCUCUUUCUCAUAUAUUCAAG